Molecule: long non-coding RNA, 1246 nt
Organism: Pecten maximus
Lineage: Eukaryota; Metazoa; Mollusca; Bivalvia; Pectinida; Pectinidae
Exons: 2
Source: RefSeq, a predicted model, not a curated record
UCUCCUGUACAGGUGUUUGGAUGAGUGACAAUGUGUCUCCUGUACAGGUGUUAGGAUGAGUCACAAUGUGUCUCCUGUACAGGUGUUUGGACGAGUCACAAUGUGUCUCCUGUACGGGUGUUUGGACGAGUGACAAUGUGUCUCCUGUGUAGGUGUUUGGACGAGUGACAAUGUGUCUCCUGUACAGGUGUUUGGAUGAGCGACAAUGUGUCUCCUGUACAGGUGUUUGGAUGAGUGACAAUGUGUCUCCUGUACAGGUGUUUGGAUGAGUGACAAUGUGUCUCCUGUACAGGUGUUUGGAUGAGUGACAAUGUAUCACCUGUACAGGUGUUAGGAUGAGUGACAAUGUGUCUCCUGUACAGGUGUUUGGACGAGUGACAAUGUGUCUCCUGUACAGGUGUUUGGACGAGUGACAAUGUGUCUCCUGUACAGGUGUUUGGACGAGUGACAAUGUGUCUCCUGUACAGGUGUUUGGACGAGUGACAAUGUGUCUCCUGUACAGGUGUUUGGACGAGUGACAAUGUGUCUCCUGUACAGGUGUUUAGACGAGUGACAAUGUGUCUCCUGUACAGGUGUUUGGAUGAGUGACAAUGUGUCUCCUGUACAGGUGUUAGGAUGAGUCACAAUGUGUCCCCUGUACAGGUGUUUGGACGAGUCACAAUGUGUCUCCUGUAUGGGUGUUUGGACGAGUGACAAUGUGUCUCCUGUGUAGGUGUUUGGACGAGUGACAAUGUGUCUCCUGUACAGGUGUUUGGAUGAGCGACAAUGUGUCUCCUGUACAGGUGUUUGGAUGAGUGGCAAUGUGUCUCCUGUACAGGUGUUUGGAUGAGUGACAAUGUGUCUCCUGUACAGGUGUUUGGAUGAGUGACAAUGUAUCACCUGUACAGGUGUUAGGAUGAGUGACAAUGUGUCUCCUGUACAGGUGUUUGGACGAGUGACAAUGUGUCUCCUGUACAGGUGUUUGGAUGAGUGACAAUGUGUCUCCUGUACAGGUGUUUGGACGAGUGACAAUGUGUCUCCUGUACAGGUGUUUGGACGAGUGACAAUGUGUCUCCUGUACAGGUGUUUGGACGAGUGACAAUGUGUCUCCUGUACAGGUGUUUGGACGAGUGACAAGGAAAGUGCAAGUGAAUUCAUUUUAAUAUCCGUCUUUGUACUUCCAUAGCAUUUUAUUUGUCGAAUUGUGCUAGACUGAAUGAUAUUUUUACCUGUUUUAUUGUUUACAAAUAAACACAAUAAACUAUCA